GACGAACGCUGGCGGCGUGCUUAACACAUGCAAGUCGAACGGAAAGGCCCUGCUUUUGUGGGGUGCUCGAGUUGCGAACGGGUGACUAACACGUGAGUAACCUGCCCUUGACUUUGGGAUAACUUCAUGAAACUUGAGCUAAUACCGGAUACGAUCUCCUGCUUCAUGGUGGGGCUUGGAAAGUUUCGGCGGUUGGGGAUGGACUCGCGUCUUAUCAGCUUGUUGGUGGGGUAGUGGCUUACCAAGGCUUGGACGGGUAGCAGACCUGAGAGGAUGAGCGGACACGUUAGACAUGAGAUAAGACACAGACGACAACGGGAGGCAGCAGAGGAGAAUAUUGCAAAAUGGGAGGAAGAAUAAUGCAAUAAAGCAACGUGGGGGAUGACAGGAAGCGGGUAGUAAAGAGAUUUUGCCUGACACGAAACGAGAAUGACGGUAAUGGGUGAAGAAGCGCCGGCUAACUACGUG
Molecule: ribosomal RNA, 468 nt
Filed under: uncultured bacterium
Lineage: Bacteria
Description: partial 16S ribosomal RNA
Rfam family: Bacterial small subunit ribosomal RNA
Source: RNAcentral